AUUGAACGCUGGCGGCAUGAUUUACACAUGCAAGUCGAACGGUAACAGGCCGCAAGGUGCUGACGAGUGGCGCACGGGUGAGUAAUGCAUCGGAACGUGCCCAGUCGUGGGGGAUAACUACUCGAAAGAGUAGCUAAUACCGCAUACGAUCUAUGGAUGAAAGCGGGGGACCGUAAGGCCUCGCGCGAUUGGAGCGGCCGAUGUCAGAUUAGGUAGUUGGUGGGGUAAAGGCUCACCAAGCCAACGAUCUGUAGCUGGUCUGAGAGGACGACCAGCCACACUGGGACUGAGACACGGCCCAGACUCCUGCGGGAGGCAGCAGUGGGGAAUUUUGGACAAUGGGCGCAAGCCUGAUCCAGCAAUGCCGCGUGCAGGAAGAAGGCCUUCGGGUUGUAAACUGCUUUUGUACGGAACGAAACGGCUCUGGUUAAUACCCGGGGCUAAUGACGGUACCGUAAGAAUAAGCACCGGCUAACUACGUG
This 482-nucleotide ribosomal RNA is filed under the name uncultured bacterium. Its description in RNAcentral is "partial 16S ribosomal RNA". It matches the Rfam family "Bacterial small subunit ribosomal RNA", at positions 30 to 507 of the family's 1533-position model. The record is from RNAcentral.